CCCUUAGAUGUUCUGGGCCGCACCCGCGCUACACUGAUGCAUUCAACAAGCCUAGCCUUGACCGAGAGGUCCGGGUAAUCUUUGAAACUGCAUCGUGAUGGGGCUAGAUUAUUGCAAUUAUUAAUCUUCAACGAGGAAUGCCUAGUAAGCGUGAUUCAUCAAAUCGCGUUGAUUACGUCCCUGCCCUUUGUACACACCGCCCGUCGCUCCUACCGAUUGAAUGUGUUGGUGAGGAGCUCGGAUUGGCAGCAGUUGGUGGUUCGCCACCGGCUAUUGCUGAGAAGUCCUCCAAACCGCCCCAUUUAGAGGAAGGAGAAGUCGUAACA
Molecule: ribosomal RNA, 326 nt
Filed under: uncultured eukaryote
Lineage: Eukaryota
Description: partial 18S ribosomal RNA
Rfam family: Eukaryotic small subunit ribosomal RNA
Source: RNAcentral